AGCUUUGCGCAGUGGCAGUAUCGUAGCCAAUGAGGUUUAUCCGAGGCGCGAUUAUUGCUAACUGGAAACUUUUCCUGAUACCUCGCCAUGAUGACUUGAAAUAUAGUCAGAGUUGGCAAUUUUUGGCAGUCUCUACGUAGA
Molecule: small nuclear RNA, 141 nt
Organism: Callithrix jacchus (white-tufted-ear marmoset)
Lineage: Eukaryota; Metazoa; Chordata; Mammalia; Primates; Cebidae
Gene: U4
Rfam family: U4 spliceosomal RNA
About the family: U4 small nuclear RNA (U4 snRNA) is a component of the major U2-dependent spliceosome. The structure of U4 snRNA from yeast and human has been reported.
Source: Ensembl